Molecule: ribosomal RNA, 626 nt
Filed under: Vreelandella aquamarina
Lineage: Bacteria; Pseudomonadati; Pseudomonadota; Gammaproteobacteria; Oceanospirillales; Halomonadaceae
Description: bacterial SSU rRNA
Rfam family: Bacterial small subunit ribosomal RNA
Source: RNAcentral
CCAGCUUGCUGGAUGCUGACGAGCGGCGGACGGGUGAGUAAUGCAUAGGAAUCUGCCCGAUAGUGGGGGAUAACCUGGGGAAACCCAGGCUAAUACCGCAUACGUCCUACGGGAGAAAGGGGGCUCCGGCUCCCGCUAUGGGAUGAGCCUAUGUCGGAUUAGCUAGUUGGUGAGGUAACGGCUCACCAAGGCCACGAUCCGUAGCUGGUCUGAGAGGAUGAUCAGCCACAUCGGGACUGAGACACGGCCCGAACUCCUACGGGAGGCAGCAGUGGGGAAUAUUGGACAAUGGGGGAAACCCUGAUCCAGCCAUGCCGCGUGUGUGAAGAAGGCCCUCGGGUUGUAAAGCACUUUCAGCGAGGAAGAACGCCUAGCGGUUAAUACCCGCUAGGAAAGACAUCACUCGCAGAAGAAGCACCGGCUAACUCCGUGCCAGCAGCCGCGGUAAUACGGAGGGUGCAAGCGUUAAUCGGAAUUACUGGGCGUAAAGCGCGCGUAGGUGGCUUGAUAAGCCGGUUGUGAAAGCCCCGGGCUCAACCUGGGAACGGCAUCCGGAACUGUCGAGCUAGAGUGCAGGAGAGGAAGGUAGAAUUCCCGGUGUAGCGGUGAAAUGCGUAGAGAUCGGG